UGCAAGUCGAGGGGUAACAGGGAGCUUGCUCCGCUGACGACCGGCGCACGGGUGCGUAACGCGUAUAGAACCUACCUUUUACUGAGGGAUAGCCUUUAGAAAUGAAGAUUAAUAUCUCAUAGUAUUGAGAAGUGGCAUCACUUUUUAAUUAAAGAUUUAUUGGUAAAAGAUGGCUAUGCGUCUUAUUAGCUAGAUGGUAAGGUAACGGCUUACCAUGGCGACGAUAGGUAGGGGUCCUGAGAGGGAGAUCCCCCACACUGGUACUGAGACACGGACCAGACUCC
RNAcentral lists this ribosomal RNA (284 nucleotides) under unidentified marine bacterioplankton. RNAcentral's name for it is "partial 16S ribosomal RNA". It matches the Rfam family "Bacterial small subunit ribosomal RNA", at positions 56 to 339 of the family's 1533-position model. The record is from RNAcentral.